UACAGAGGUGGCAAGCGUUGUUCGGAAUUACUGGGCGUAAAGGGCGCGUAGGCGGCUUGGUAAGUCCCGUGUGAAAUCUCUCGGCUCAACUGAGGAACCGCACGGGAAACUGCCUGGCUUGAGUUCGGGAGAGGGAAGCGGAAUUCCGGGUGUAGCGGUGAAAUGCGUAGAUAUCGAGAGGAACAUCGGUGGCGAAGGCGGCCUUCUGGACAGUGACUGACGCUGAUACGCGAAAGCGUGGGGAGCAAACAGG
Molecule: ribosomal RNA, 253 nt
Filed under: uncultured bacterium
Lineage: Bacteria
Description: partial 16S ribosomal RNA
Rfam family: Bacterial small subunit ribosomal RNA
Source: RNAcentral